UUGCUCUUCAACGAGGAAUACCUAGUAAGCGUGAGUCACCAACUCGCGUUGAUUACGUCCCUGCCCUUUGUACACACCGCCCGUCGCUACUACCGAUUGAAUGGCUUGGUGAGAUCUCCGGAUUGGCGUUGAGGAGCCGGCAACGGCACCUCUUGGCCGAGAAGCUGAUCAAACCUGGUCAUUUAGAGGAAGUAAAAGUCGUAACAAGGUUUCCGUAGGUGAACCUGCGGAAGGAUCAUUAGUGAUUGACCUCCGGGUCUUAAUAACUAUAAUCUUCUACCUCUGUGAACCGUUGGUCUUCGGACCGAUUCUUAUAAUAAACAUCUGUGUAAUGAACGUAACCUAUAUUAAUCAUAUAAAACUUUUAACAACGGAUCUCUUGGCUCUCGCAUCGAUGAAGAACGCAGCGAAAUGCGAUAAGUAAUGUGAAUUGCAGAAUUCAGUGAAUCAUCGAAUCUUUGAACGCACCUUGCGCCUUUUGGUAUUCCGAAAGGCAUGCCUGUUUGAGUGUCAUGAAAUAUCAACCCCUCCUGGUUUCUGAUCAGUGUUGGGCUUGGACUUGGGUGUCUGCCAGUUCGCUGGCUCGCCUUAAAAGAGUUAGUGGUAAUAACAUCCACGGCUAAGACGUAAUAAGUUUCGUCUGGUCAAGGUGUGACGACUGCUCAUAACCCGACCGCAAGGUCAUUAUUUAUGCUCUGACCUCAAAUCAGGUAGGACUACCCGCUGAACUUAAGCAUAUCAAUAAGCGGAGGA
This 753-nucleotide ribosomal RNA is filed under the name uncultured fungus. Its description in RNAcentral is "eukaryotic LSU rRNA". The stretch from base 1 to 241 matches the Rfam family "Eukaryotic small subunit ribosomal RNA", at positions 1593 to 1831 of the family's 1831-position model. Lineage: Eukaryota; Fungi. The record is from RNAcentral.